Molecule: small RNA, 628 nt
Filed under: Pan troglodytes (chimpanzee)
Lineage: Eukaryota; Metazoa; Chordata; Mammalia; Primates; Hominidae
Description: retained intron
Source: RNAcentral
AAGAUGACUUCAGAAACUGAGGGAGAGAGACCCACUUGAGACUAGGCAGCAAACAGUGAAGAAGAAAUGAGCAACAUGGUGUGCAGGAGCAAAGUUUCAUACUGUAUAUCUCUACUCUAAGUGUACAAUGCCUAUAAAUGGAAAGUAUGCUUUCUUGGCUUUCCUUUAGCCUAUUUUCCAAGCAAGAACUAUUGUUGUUGGUAAUUUAGGUACAUGGAAUAGUAAGUUGAAGUCUUGAAUUCUUAUUUAAUAAUAAUACACUUAAUACAUUGUCAGUGUUUAAUUUUGUCUUCCCAUUGUUCUUAUUCCUGCUAGUUUUCACAAAUAGAAAACUUACACUGAAGGGGAAAAUUGCCUUAAUGAUAAUUGUGGGUGUGUUUUUUCCUCUAUCUUUUAUUUUUAGGUGCAGUUUUCUUGGUUGUUUUUUGCAGGAGCUAUCCCUGUAUUUUUUUCAUUUUUUAUUGUAACUCUCCUAUGCCAUUAUAAUAAUUGGGAUCCUGUGAUGGUGGGAAUCAGAAGAAUAUUUGCUUUUAUAUGCAGAAAACAUCGAAUUCAGAGAGUUCCAGAAGACAGCGAACAGUGUGAGAGUCUCAUCUCUAUGCACAGUGUUUCUCAGGAGGAUGGAGCU